RNAcentral lists this ribosomal RNA (200 nucleotides) under uncultured bacterium. RNAcentral describes it as "partial 16S ribosomal RNA". It matches the Rfam family "Bacterial small subunit ribosomal RNA", at positions 328 to 538 of the family's 1533-position model. The record is from RNAcentral.
ACGCUCGACACCUACGGGAGCAGCAGUGGGGAAUAUUGCACAAUGGGGGGAAACCCUGAUGCAGCGACGCCGCGUGAGCGAAGAAGUAUCUCGGUAUGUAAAGCUCUAUCAGCAGGGAAGAAGAUGACGGUACCUGACUAAGAAGCACCGGCUAAAUACGUGCCAGCAGCCGNGGUAAUCUGAGCGGGCGUGGCGAAGGC